CAUCUGCAUAAGUUGUCAAUUCAUAUGGAACCACUUGUUUUCGAAUCUCAGUUCUCAGUCCCAUCUCAAACUUGUGAACACGUUCUUGCUCACCAUCCACUAAUCUCUGAGCAAAUUUUGCUAACGCUGUAAAUUUUGCUUCAUAUUCAGUCACACUCAUACCCUUUUGCUUCAAAUAAAUAAACUCUUGCUCUUUCUGGAUCCUUAUACUCCGAGAAAAAUACUGAUCAUAGAAUGCAAUCCAAAAUCUUUCCCAGGUAAGUAUUUCGCCGUCUUGUUCAUGCUUGCGCUAUAGUCGCUGACACCAGUUGUAUGCUUCUCCUUGUAGUAAAUAGGCUGCAUAUCGAAUCUUUUCUUCAUCAAGACACUCUUGGACAGCGAAAGCCUUCUCCAUCUCCAUUAUCCAGUUGUCAGCCUCCAAAGGUUCAGUAGUCCCCUUGAAAGCUGGAGGAGCAAGCUUUUUAAAUUCUGAAAUAUUAUUCCAUUGUACUGGUUGCUCUCCAUGUUGUGGUGGUGGAUGCUGAUGUUGUUGUGUAUCUCGUUGUAUCUGUUGUUGUUCAAACAUUUGCUGCUGCAUUUAUUGUUGCGCUUGUACCAUCCUGAUUAGGGUCUGCAUUAACUGAGCCAUAUCUGAUUCUUGACGUGCUCUCAAAGUACUCCUAUUAGGAUCUACGACUCCCUCCUGAGGGGUGCCACUGGUCAGAUGGGGAGUGCUACCAUCCCAAGGUUGUGAUGUUUCUCUUGCAAUUCCUUGAGUAGUUCUUGUCAUUCUACGGGGAGGCAUGGUAACCUUGUAGUAGUAAAACCUUAUUAGAUUCAUUUAUCUAUUUGUUAGGAUGGGNN
This 843-nucleotide long non-coding RNA is filed under the name Elaeis guineensis (African oil palm). RNAcentral's name for it is "long non-coding RNA (EGUI_LNC045258)". The record is from RNAcentral. Lineage: Eukaryota; Viridiplantae; Streptophyta; Magnoliopsida; Arecales; Arecaceae.